AUUGAACGCUGGCGGCAUGCCUUACACAUGCAAGUCGAACGGCAGCAUGGAGAGCUUGCUCUCUGAUGGCGAGUGGCGAGCGGGUGAGUAAUGCAUCGGAACGUACCGUGUAAUGGGGGAUAACGUAGCGAAAGUUACGCUAAUACCGCAUACAACCUGAGGGUGAAAGCAGGGGAUCGCAAGACCUUGCGUUAUACGAGCGGCCGAUGUCAGAUUAGCUAGUUGGUGAGGUAAAGGCUCACCAAGGCGACGAUCUGUAGCGGGUCUGAGAGGAUGAUCCGCCACACUGGGACUGAGACACGGCCCAGACUCCUACGGGAGGCAGCAGUGGGGAAUUUUGGACAAUGGGGGCAACCCUGAUCCAGCCAUGCCGCGCGAGUGAAGAAGGCCUUCGGGUUGUAAAGCUCUUUCGACCGGGAAGAAAUCGCACAGGCUAAUACUCUGUGUGGAUGACGGUACCGGCAUAAGAAGCACCGGCUAACUACGUGCCAGCCGCCGCGGUAA
Molecule: ribosomal RNA, 504 nt
Filed under: uncultured bacterium
Lineage: Bacteria
Description: partial 16S ribosomal RNA
Rfam family: Bacterial small subunit ribosomal RNA
Source: RNAcentral